CCUAAUACAAAUCAAGGGCUUCCUUUAAUAGCUAUAAGUUUUACAUCACCGAGAAACAAAUUCUACAAUAAUGUUGGUAAGCAUCAUAUUCACAUGCCACAGCCAAAAAGAGCAAGCACAUAGUAUUCUAAGAAUGGCCCAUGAAACUAAGCGAUGUAGCAGAGGAAGGUGGCAAACCUUAAUCACAGCACGACAUCCGCUAGCUACUGAUGGAUUGAACAAUACCUGGAAGAAGAACAUAGAAAUACACACAUCAAAAAGAGGCCAAGACAUGGACUGGAUCAAAUGCAUAUCCUACCGGAAAAAAACAAUAGUUGGAGGUUCGCCAUCAUGGAAGGAGGUGGAUAACAACUUCUUGUCAGAUUUUAUUGGCCACCGCAGAAAUAAAUAGAAAUCUUAACAUCCUCAUGAUUGAUUAUAGGAAAUAAUAACUUACCUUCAAAUCUCAGAGAGAGUGGCACACACAGAGAGUGAGAGAGAGAGAGAGGGAGACUUAGACACCAUUCAUCGCAGUAAAAAUGAGUGCACGUCGCAGAACUGAUCAUAUGGGAAGAAUACCCUUCAAAAUUAUAUCCCAAAAGCUCGGCGCAGCCAAUAUAAGUAUACAACUGUCAGAUAUUAGAAAAUGGUAUUAUAGGUGUGCUAAUGCCUAAAGUGCCAGAACAAAUCAUGCUCAUAUGCACAUGAGCACAUCACAACACAGACAUGCAUAAACACAUCGCAAAUUUCUGAAGAAAAGGGUCGGGGCGUCACAAUACCACAUGAUUUUCAUAGGAAAGACUUUUGGUCAUGUGUCACCUAAAAGUAUAUACAUGCAAGAACCUUUUCUCUCUUGAUCUUGGAAACAUAUACCUACCUAGAAAGAUGCUAGAAGCAUGAUCCAGGCGAGAGGAAAAGUAUUUUUUUCUAAGAAGCUAUAGAGAGAGAGAGAGAGAAGUAAGCCAGUGAUCCUCGCCUAGCUAGUGCACACACACACACACACACACAUCUCAAGCCAACACACCAUAAAUGCAGCAGCAGCACGCAAGCCACAAAUAGGCGUGUGGCACAGCGCACGGGGAAGAUAGAGACACAACCAAUAGAGUGAGGAGUAGAUAGCCACGCUUGCCGUCGAGCCGUUCACACUAAAAGGGAUAAAAGAGUAGGACGCUUCUAUUCUCAAACCUUCCCAUCGUAGGGAGUAAUUAUCAAACAGAAAAGCAAGAAGUUCCCUUCGUCCAUCCGUUUUUUAUUUUCUUUCACUUAUAUACAUCAGACUAACACACAAGCACUUCAACUAUUAUAAACAUAAUUCCCAAUUCAAGAACACGGUUGAAUAUUAGAGCACCACAUACUACUCUUCGUAAAGUAAAACUGGGCAUGCCAAGUCAUGACUGACAGACGAAGCUCGGGAAGGAUUUGAUUGUGCUAUUAGUCAGUAGGUACAUUACAGCAAGGUUGUCAGAAUCGCGAUUCUGUUAUACGAUUCUACGACUUUAUGAUCCAAAAUAACCCCUAUGAUUCUACGAUUUUAGUUCAUAGGAUCUACGUUUCUACGAUCCUGAUAGUGAAGAUUCUACGAUUUGCAAUCUUACCAUCGGAGCUCUGAUCCGAUUCAAAAUCGCGAUUCUGACAACCUUGCAUUACAGAGCUUGUUCAUGCUAAGAACAUUUGUUAUUAGAUUCUUGUAACCACACUUCAUGUUUGUAUUUUCUAAAUUAAAAUAAGCGAUCUCACUACAGUUAAAAAUAAACACAUAUAUAGCUGACAUAAUUACCUCGCUAAGCUAUUAGCAAGGUAGUUACAAAAUAUUAUGCUAUCCUAAUCAUAUUGCCAAAUUACAAUUGACCGAUUCUAGUCUAGGUUUUAAAUUUGAAAAGGGGGGACAACUCACCAUGCUCUUUGAUUUCUUCUUGGACCCAUGUUUCUUAUCACCAGUCCCCUCCCUGCCGCACGAAUCCUCAUUGAUCUAUGCAAAUCUUUAAACGAAAGCAUCCAAAGAACCAAUAUGUAUCUUCAAAAUAGAAAAAUCAAAUUCAUAAAAGCUAUCUAAUUGAUGGAAGGAGCUUUAUUUUAUAAUGGAUUCACUCUAUCAGGCAAACUGUGAUGUUUUGGCAUCCACGGUUGAAACAUCAAUAUAAGAUUCAAAUAUUUAGACAUGGCAGUGAGUCAUGAUGUCAUAAAAAGCAGAGUUUUUCUCAAUCAUUUAUGUGGGACAAAGUACAUAGUAGAUAUGCUUAAUAAUAAGUUAAAAAAGAUGACACCCAAUGACUCAAACACUAAAGCUUUGGCUUCACCAUAACAAAUUAAUCUUUGCCAUAUACAGUCUAGCCCUCAAUACCUGGCAUCUCAUUUUACAAUGGAACUCUCUUUUCCCUUGGCAAGCAG
RNAcentral lists this long non-coding RNA (2367 nucleotides) under Triticum aestivum (bread wheat). RNAcentral's name for it is "long non-coding RNA (TAES_LNC001841)". The record is from RNAcentral. Lineage: Eukaryota; Viridiplantae; Streptophyta; Magnoliopsida; Poales; Poaceae.